UGGGGAAUUUUGGACAAUGGGCGCAAGCCUGAUCCAGCCAUUCCGCGUGAGUGAAGAAGGCCUUCGGGUUGUAAAGCUCUUUCGCAAGGGAAGAAAACUUAUCCUCUAACAUAGGAUGAGGUUGACGGUACCUUGAUAAGAAGCACCGGCUAACUACGUGCCAGCAGCCGCGGUAAUACGUAGGGUGCGAGCGUUAAUCGGAAUUACUGGGCGUAAAGCGUGCGCAGGCUGUUUUGUAAGUCAGAUGUGAAAUCCCUGAGCUCAACUUAGGAACUGCGUUUGAAACUACAAGACUAGAAUAUGUCAGAGGGGGGUAGAAUUCCACGUGUAGCAGUGAAAUGCGUAGAGAUGUGGAGGAAUACCAAUGGCGAAGGCAGCCCCCUGGGAUAAUAUUGACGCUCAUGCACGAAAGCGUGGGGAGCAAACAGG
Molecule: ribosomal RNA, 429 nt
Filed under: uncultured bacterium
Lineage: Bacteria
Description: bacterial SSU rRNA
Rfam family: Bacterial small subunit ribosomal RNA
Source: RNAcentral